AACGAACGCUGGCGGCAUGCCUAACACAUGCAAGUCGAACGAGACCUUCGGGUCUAGUGGCGCACGGGUGCGUAACGCGUGGGAACCUGCCCUUAGGUUCAGAAUAACUCAGAGAAAUUUGAGCUAAUACCGGAUAAUGUCUUCGGACCAAAGAUUUAUCGCCUUUGGAUGGGCCCGCGUAGGAUUAGCUUGUUGGUGGGGUAAUGGCCUACCAAGGCGACGAUCCUUAGCUGGUCUGAGAGGAUGAUCAGCCACACUGGGACUGAGACACGGCCCAGACUCCUACGGGAGGCAGCAGUGGGGAAUAUUGGACAAUGGGCGAAAGCCUGAUCCAGCAAUGCCGCGUGAGUGAUGAAGGCCUUAGGGUUGUAAAGCUCUUUUAACAGGGAUGAUAAUGACAGUACCUGGAGAAUAAGCUCCGGCUAACUCCGUG
This 433-nucleotide ribosomal RNA is filed under the name uncultured bacterium. RNAcentral's name for it is "partial 16S ribosomal RNA". It matches the Rfam family "Bacterial small subunit ribosomal RNA", at positions 29 to 507 of the family's 1533-position model. The record is from RNAcentral.